Clostridium sp. is the source of this 280-nucleotide non-coding RNA. Lineage: Bacteria; Bacillati; Bacillota; Clostridia; Eubacteriales; Clostridiaceae. The record is from Rfam.
ACCGUGAGGUGGAGCAAAACUUAUAAAGCCUAUCUCAGUUCGGAUUGUAGGCUGCAACUCGCCUACAUGAAGCUGGAGUUGCUAGUAAUCGCGAAUCAGAAUGUCGCGGUGAAUACGUUCCCGGGCCUUGUACACACCGCCCGUCACACCAUGAGAGCUGGUAACACCCGAAGUCCGUGAGGCAACCGUAAGGAGCCAGCGGCCGAAGGUGGGAUUAGUGAUUGGGGUGAAGUCGUAACAAGGUAGCCGUAGGAGAACCUGCGGCUGGAUCACCUCCUUU